GGGAUUGCAAGGCAUAGACAAGAAGCCACUUUUCUUUUAUGCAUAUCGAGCCAGCAUGUAGCUCGCAAAUCUUAGAUGUAAAAUCCAAUUGCAAAAACAUUUGGUAAAAUAAAGUCUCCUUACUUUGCGUUUGGAAACUUUGUUCCUGCAUUCGCCUAGUCUUAGGUCAAUCAGGUGUCCACCUCUGAUACUCAAAUAAGAGAUCUGGAUAUAAUACAUUUGAGCUCGCUUCUAGCUUCGUCUUGGGCUAGAGGUUAAAUAAAGAGAAUAAGAAUUUAAUUAUUUUGUUUGUCUAUCAGAUUAAAUUACGAAAAUUUUAAAACAAACUAAAUAUGUAGAUUUAAAAGAAAUUACUUUUUGCACGGGAGUUCAAUUCUCCCCAAUUCCACAC
RNAcentral lists this transfer-messenger RNA (391 nucleotides) under bacterium. It matches the Rfam family "transfer-messenger RNA". Rfam says of the family: Bacterial tmRNA, also known as 10Sa RNA or SsrA, is named for its dual tRNA and mRNA-like properties. The record is from RNAcentral.